RNAcentral lists this transfer RNA (62 nucleotides) under Setarhynchus sp. AH-2016. RNAcentral describes it as "tRNA-Arg". The record is from RNAcentral. Lineage: Eukaryota; Metazoa; Arthropoda; Insecta; Coleoptera; Curculionidae.
AAAUAAGAAGCAAAUUUUGCAGUUAAUUUCGACCUAACCCUUGAUUACAUAAUCCUUAUUUU